AAUUACCAAAUCUCCACUAGAUAAACCCAUCUUUAAUCUAUCAAUACCUUUAUUCCAACAGAAGCACACAAACGACAACCAACUAUUUGAAUCGACCGAUAAUUUUACACCAAAAAUAAUAAAUUAGAGAAACAAAAGUGAAAUAAGCCCAAAUUCGUGACCAAGAAAAUGACAGAUAAAGAAGAAUGAACAUUCCAGUAGAAUCAUUUCUUUCAGCUUUUCUUGGAGGUCAAUUUUUCGGUGAAAGAGAUCUGGCGAGGUCGGUCAAUGAUUCUAUAGUGGACUCUUUGCUUUGGCUAUUCCUUUUUGUUUCAUAUUUGAAUUAGUUUUAUGGAAAGAUUUAGAUUUAAGUUUCAAGCAUGGAUAAAUAAAUUUUAAGUAUAAGACAUGUUGGUGAAGAAGGUGGGAAGCGGAAGGGGUCUAUAAUGGAAAGAUUUAUAUUUAAUUAGUUGGAUGGAGAGUGGACUAGGAAAAAAGAGAAGCAGAAGCAGAAGAAGGAAGAAGGAAGAAGAUGAACAGGGGUGGGGGUAUGCUG
This 535-nucleotide long non-coding RNA is filed under the name Nicotiana benthamiana. Its description in RNAcentral is "long non-coding RNA (NBEN_LNC042140)". The record is from RNAcentral. Lineage: Eukaryota; Viridiplantae; Streptophyta; Magnoliopsida; Solanales; Solanaceae.